CAGUAGCCGCGGUAAUACGAAGGGGGCUAGCGUUGUUCGGAUUAACUGGGCGUAAAGGGCGCGUAGGCGGGUUUUUAAGUCAGAGGUGAAAUCCCAAGGCUCAACCUUGGAACUGCCUUUGAUACUGGAAGUCUUGAGUCCGGGAGAGGUGAGUGGAACUGCGAGUGUAGAGGUGAAAUUCGUAGAUAUUCGCAAGAACACCAGUGGCGAAGGCGGCUCACUGGCCCGGUACUGACGCUGAGGCGCGAAAGCGUGGGGAGCAAACAGGAUUAGAUACCCGUGUAGUCCCUGUCUCUUAUAA
Molecule: ribosomal RNA, 301 nt
Filed under: uncultured bacterium
Lineage: Bacteria
Description: partial 16S ribosomal RNA
Rfam family: Bacterial small subunit ribosomal RNA
Source: RNAcentral